This 82-nucleotide transfer RNA is filed under the name Novibacillus thermophilus. It matches the Rfam family "tRNA". Rfam says of the family: Transfer RNA (tRNA) molecules are approximately 80 nucleotides in length. Their secondary structure includes four short double-helical elements and three loops (D, anti-codon, and T loops). Further hydrogen bonds mediate the characteristic L-shaped molecular structure. tRNAs have two regions of fundamental functional importance: the anti-codon, which is responsible for specific mRNA codon recognition, and the 3' end, to which the tRNAs corresponding amino acid is attached (by aminoacyl-tRNA synthetases). tRNAs cope with the degeneracy of the genetic code in two manners: having more than one tRNA (with a specific anti-codon) for a particular amino acid; and 'wobble' base-pairing, i.e. permitting non-standard base-pairing at the 3rd anti-codon position. Lineage: Bacteria; Bacillati; Bacillota; Bacilli; Caryophanales; Thermoactinomycetaceae. The record is from Rfam by way of RNAcentral.
GGAGGGAUACCGAAGUGGUCAAACGGGGCAGACUGUAAAUCUGCUGGCGUUGCCUUCGAAGGUUCGAAUCCUUCUCCCUCCA